GAAAAAGAAAAAUAGGCAACAAGGAGGACAAACUUGAUUAUAGAGGCAAUGGGAACACCAUUGGCUGACAUGAAGGGCCAGGAUGAGGACAUUCUGGAGAAGAUUGUGCAGUGUGAUUAUGUGAGACAACCCACGAGCAAAUACAGUAAACAGAGAGAGAAGCAAGCAAGCAAACAAACAAAAAGAAAAGAAAUUUUAUCUUGUAUGGAUCAGUUUUUCUGAACCAGUUAUUUAAAUGUUACUAAUGAAGAUAAAAAAGUGAGUGGCUUGUGUAAAAUCACAAAUAGAGAUGUGGAAGUUACUCACUACUCUUCAAAAAGCUACUUCAAAAAGCACACUUUUGCAUCAAGAUUUUCUUCAGAACUUUGUCCCAAACCCUGAAGCCAGAGAUAGAUAACAUAGUCAUGUCCAGGUUACAAGCUUUAAUAAUAUUGUGUGAAUAUAUGUAUGUAUGACUGUGUGGUUUUUGCAAAGACAUUGAAACUGCAAAAACAGCACACACAAAAAACUUAAAAAAAAAAUUUAAACUCAAAAUGUUUUAUCAACUCGAGGCAUAUCACUGUUCCAGUUAUUUUAUAUCAAAUACUACUUUGCAAAAGUUCUUAUAGAGAGCUAUAGGAGAAGUGAAACAUAUUUUUAAUUGUUUCUCAUUAACAUGGCACUAUUUCAAAUCUGCCUUUUAUAGCAUGCUCUGACCAACAAGCCCUCCUAACUAAAAGGACGUUGCUAGGAACAACAUAUACACAGGGAAUACACACACAUGCACAUCUGAAAGAAUUUGAUUCUGAAUAAAACAAUGGUUUUUACCUAAUCAAUGCAAUAUUUUUAUUCAAACCAACCUUAUCACACACACACAUACACAAUUGAAAGCUCCACUGAAUUUAUAUAGAACUACAAUACAUAUUAGAAAUAAAUAUGGUAACAAAGAAAAAAAUGACACUUAGCAUGUUAAUAAUUUUGUUGAUUACCUCUCUAUGUUCAACAUGGUUUUAAAAGGAUGGUUAUUUAAAAUUAAAGUCAUCUUGGGCAAUCAUAAUUUUAUCUGUAUAUUACUUACCAAUAGUUUUUGUAUGUUUAAUAUAACUUCCCUCCAGGUGCAUAUAUAGAAUUGCAGCCAAAAUAUACUAGUCUUUGUCAAAAGUAUGUAUUGUCUUUCAUGUGUAAUAUAUAGUCCAUCACCAAGUUAGCACCACAAAUGUACACUUCAUUCUGAGCCUCCUAGUUACAAACUGACUCUUCCAAAGUUUUAGGUGAGGUAUAGACAAAUUCAACCUUAUUCAAUAGUAAUUAGAACAUUUUCCCUCCACAUUUUUACUUCAGUCUGCAAUUAAAGGCAUUUUAAGCAAGGGGUCUCAAACUGCGCAUCACAAGAAAAUACCUGGAUAACAACAGCUCCCAAUACAAAAAUCUGGAAAGACUUAUUUGAUUCUGUCGAAAUUGCCUUCAAUGAUGAUGAGGAAUGAUUUCAAGAAGCUUUAAAGCCCCAAAUUACAAGCACAAAGUUGUUGAAGAAGAAUCUCCACAACUGAGCGCCCCAGCUACUUUGUGCAAAACAGGUGUGCUGUUUGAGUUCUGUCUGAUAGUUUGUAGGGAGAAAUUUCAUUAUUUUAAAAUAUCAAAGCAUCAUGAAGUUUCACAGCCAAUUUUAAGGUUUGCACUUUAUCACUGAAAAAAGAAAUAUAUUUUGUAUACAUUACUAACAUUGUUUCCUAACAAACAGGAAGCAGCAGGUGAAGCUAAGCAAGAUCACAUCAAAUACCUGUACAAUUAGCACAGCCCCCCCCCCCAAGGCUGUGUGCUCUCCCCACUUCUCUUCUCUCUGUAUACCAAUUACUGCAUCUCCAACGAUCCAUCUGUUAAGCUACUGAAGUUCGCAGAUGACACAACAGUGAUUGGUCUCAUUCGAGACAAUGACGAAUCCGCAUAUAGACGAGAGGUCGAACGACUAGCCUUGUGGUGCAACCAAAACAAUCUAGAACUGAACACACUCAAAACCGUAGAAAUGGUGGUAGACUUUAGGAGAAACCCUUCCAUACUUCCACCUCUCACAAUACUAGACAACACAGUAUCAACAGUAGAAACCUUUAAAUUUCUAGGUUCUAUCAUAUUGCAAGAUCUAAAAUGGACAGCUAACAUCAAAAAUGUCAUCAAAAAAGGAAAACAAAGAAUGUUCUUUCUGCGCCAACUCAGUAAGCUCAAACUGCCCGAGGAGCUGCUGAUUCAGUUCUAUAGAGGAAUUAUUAAGUCUGUCAUUUGCACCUCUAUAACUGUCUGGUUCGGUUCUGCAACCCAACAAGAAAGACACAGACUUCAGAGGAUAAUUAGAACUGCAGAAAAAAUAAUUGCUACCAACCUGCCUUCCAUUGAAGAUCUGUAUACUGCAUGAAUCAAGAAGAGGGCCGUGAAAAUAUUUCAGAUCCCUCACAUUCAGGACAUAAACUGUUUCAACUUCUACCCUCAAAACGACGCUAUAGAGCAUUGCACACCAGAACAACUAGACACAAGAACAGUUUUUUCCCGAAGGCCAUCACUCUGCUAAACAAAUAAUUCCCUCAACACUC
This is a long non-coding RNA of Ahaetulla prasina, 2561 nucleotides long. RefSeq lists it as uncharacterized. The record is from RefSeq and is a predicted model, not a curated record. The transcript has 3 exons. NCBI's taxonomy places the organism in Eukaryota, Metazoa, Chordata, Lepidosauria, Squamata, Colubridae.